Molecule: unclassified non-coding RNA, 212 nt
Filed under: uncultured Madurella
Lineage: Eukaryota; Fungi; Ascomycota
Description: sequence contains ITS1
Rfam family: 5.8S ribosomal RNA (bases 1-105)
Source: RNAcentral
GAAAUGCGAUAAGUAAUGUGAAUUGCAGAAUUCAGUGAAUCAUCGAAUCUUUGAACGCACAUUGCGCCCGCCAGUAUUCUGGCGGGCAUGCCUGUUCGAGCGUCAUUUCAACCAUCAAGCCCCCGGGCUUGUGUUGGGGACCUGCGGCCGCCGACUCUCAACUACUUUCUUAGGUUGACCUCGGAUCAGGUAGGGAUACCCGCUGAACUUAA